AGAGUUUGAUCCUGGCUCAGGAUGAACGCUGGCGGCGUGUCUAAGGCAUGCAAGUCGAACGGAUUCUCUGUCGUAGCAAUACGACAAAGCGUGAGUGGCAAACGGGAGCGUAACACACUGGUAACCUACCCUGAGGUUCGGCAUAACUCCGCGAAAGCGGAGCUAAUUCCGGAUGUGCUCCCCUUCUGAUUGAAGGGGAGGAAAGCAGCAAUGCACCUUGGGAGGGGCCUAUGGCUCAUCAGCUUGUUGGUAGGGUAACGGCCUACCAAGGCUACGACGAGUAGCGGGUGUGGGAGCACGAUCCGCCUCACAGGGACUGAGACACUGCCCUGACACCUACGGGUGGCUGCAGUCGAGAAUCUUCCCCAAUGGACGAAAGUCUGAGGGAGCGACGCCGCGUGCAGGAAGAAGCUCUUCGGGGCGUAAACUGCUUUUAUUUGGGAACAAGUCAUGAGUGUACCAAAUGAAUAAGUACCUGCUAAACUCGUGCCAGCAGCAGCGGUAAUACGAGUGGUACAAGCGUUAUCCGGUUUUAUUGGGCGUAAAGGGUCCGCAGGCGGUCGCACAAGUCUUGUGUUAAAUCCUGGUGCUCAACAUCAGGACUGCGUGAGAUACUGUGUGACUAGAGGAUGGGAGAGGCCAGUGGAAUUGCCGGUGUAGCAGUAAAAUGCUCUCAUAUCGGCAGGAACACCAAAAGCGAAGGCAGCUGGCUGGAACAUUUCUGACGCUCAGGGACGAAAGCGUGGGUAGCGAAUGGGAUUAGAUACCCCAGUAGUCCACGCCGUAAACUAUGGAUGCUAGGUAUUGGGAGUGUCGACCCUCUCAGUGCCGUUUAUUGAAGGUAACCCCUUAAGCAUCCCGCCUGGGAAGUACGGCCGCAAGGCUAAAACUUAAAGGAAUUGACGGGAGCCCGCACAAGCGGUGGAGCAUGUGGUUUAAUUCGACGGUAAGCGAAGAACCUUACCAAGGCUUGACAUGUCGCGAAGUCGCCGGAAACGGUGAUGUGCCCGCAAGGGAACGCGAACACAGGUGCUGCAUGGUUGUCGUCAGCUCGUGUCGUGAGAUGUCGGGUUAAGUCCUUUAACGAGCGCAACCCUCAUCUUGUGUUACUUUUCACAAGAAACUGCCUCGGUUAACGAGGAGGAAGGUGGGGAUGACGUCAAAUCAGCAUGGCUCUUACGCCUUGGGCCACACACGUGCUACAAUGGCCACGACAAUGGGGCGCGAAGUCGCAAGACGGAGCAAAUCCCAUCAAACGUGGUCUCAGUUCGGAUUGGAGGCUGCAACUCGCCUCCAUGAAGCCGGAAUCGCUAGUAACCGCGCGUCAGCCAUAGUGCGGUGAAUACGUUCUCGGGCUUUGUACACACCGCCCGUCACGCCAAGAGAGUCGGUGGCACCUGAAGAGCCCCGUUCGGGGACCUAGGGUGAAAUCGAUGAUAGGGGCGAAGUCGUAACAAGGCACCGGUAGCGGAAGCUGUCGGUG
Molecule: ribosomal RNA, 1483 nt
Filed under: sediment metagenome
Description: bacterial SSU rRNA
Rfam family: Bacterial small subunit ribosomal RNA
Source: RNAcentral